Lonchura striata (white-rumped munia) is the source of this 1974-nucleotide non-coding RNA. Lineage: Eukaryota; Metazoa; Chordata; Aves; Passeriformes; Estrildidae. The record is from RefSeq and is a predicted model, not a curated record.
AGGCGCUGUCGCGGGUGGAUUAUGAGAGCAUCACCUCCCGCCCCACGGUGACCGGCCGCGCUCGGGCACUGCUGGACACCUGCCUCUGCCUCGGGGAGAGGGCAGCACAGGCUGUAGUGACUGCCCUGGCAGGGAGCAAAUCCUGUCCUCUGGGACAAAUCACUCGUGCCCACACUGUCCUUCCAAGAAGGGAGGAAAAUGAAUUGUGACGUUUUGGAGGUCACAGUAUGGAAGAAUGGCUAUUUAUAAAUACUUCCAAAUAAGGAUAGUGAACAACAGAAUACUGGAUGAGGAGAAAAAAUGUACUGCCUUUCACUGCACUCAUAUCUGAGCAAGCUGUUACAGUGAAAGGCUUCAGAGAAUCAAGAAUUAUUUCUUCAGUAAGACCUUAAGUAAGACUUGGAAGUUUUAUAUUAUGCAUAUAAAUUACUUCAUUUUCCUCACAAAUGGUCAUAUGAAAAUACAUCAGUACUUUGGAGAUGUGGGACUUGGAGUACUCAUUAAAUGGAGAAACAUCCCUGUAUCCCUCUAAACAAGUCUGCAGCUCAAAUGUAAAAUGAAACCAGGCAGAAGAAGUGCCAAGCUGAUAAUUUUGAAGUGGUGGUUCUGCCGAACUGUUGUCAUGGUUGUACUCUAAUGGGAGACAGCCUGGGAAUACUGGGAGGUUUUCUUGCUCUGGCCUGGACUCACCCACGGUCACAGAUUCCUGCUGCUGCUUGAACUCAUCCGAAGGGUCAUGGACCCCUUUGACUUGAGUUCACAUGGAGUUCCAGUCUGUCCAGUACAGCAGCACAGAAAUACUGCUGUUAUCAGAAUGUUCCCAGGCACAGUGGAGGAAGAUAAGUGGUACAACAGGCAGUGAAAACAACCCAGCCACUAACAAGGACCAGACAAUUGCGUACAGAAGUCAAACAAGUCCCAUGGCAAGCACGGGAGUCUGUCAACAGAUCAACAGCAACAGCAGCUUCAAAUGUGAUCCAGCACAUUCCAGUAAAAUCUGUUGUUACCUGGAGUCCUUCAAGCCUCACAGUGGAUGCUAAAAAGAACAUUUGUCCCAGCAGACAACUGUGCUCCACAACAGUAAAGUGAGAAAACAUGUUGGUUGAGAGCCAGACAAUUUAACAGGUAAAGCAAAAGCUGCACACAAGCAAAGGAAAAUGUGGAAUUAAUUCACCACUUGCCAAGUAUAGGCAGGUGUCCAGCCGUCUUCAGGAAAGCUGGGCUCCAUCUCACUAAUGGUUACUUAAGAAGACAUAUGCCAUCACUCCCCUGUCCUCCCCUUCCUCCUUCUCUAGCUGAGCUUGCUGCCACAUGGUCUGGAGUAUCCCUUUGGCCAGCUGUGGUCAGUUGUCCCAGCUCAUCCUCCCCCAGCUCCUUGUGCACCCCCAGCCUCCUCCUUGGUGUGGUGAGGGGCAGAAAGGCCUUGGCUCUGCGUGAGCUCUGCCCAGCAAUAACAAAACAUCCCUGAAUUGUCAAUACUGUUUUCAGUACAAAUUCAAAAUACAGCCCCAUACAAGCUCCUAUGAAUAAAAUUAACUCUAUCCCAGCAAAAACCAGCAUAAUUUGAAAGAGAAAUAAUAGGAUUACUUUCUUCAUAAUGAAAAGAAUGAUAUAAGGUGCUGGAUUUUUAAAGGCCCAGUGAAGUUUCUUCAAGCUUCAUAGCAUCAAAUUAACAUGAGAACUUGUUACACCAUCUACAGGUAUUUCAAAACCAUGUUAUUUGUUUCAUUAUGUCGCUUUUGUUCUCUCUGCAGUUUCAAAGUUCUCAUUGAAUUCAGUUGUUUGGCUGAUUGCAAAUGCAGUAAUGAUGUGUUGUCUAGGCACAGUUAAGAAAUAAGAAAUGUGUUACAUCAAAAUUUCCAGCAACAAUUCUGCUGGAACCAUAAACUUUUUUUUUUUUAACAUAACUCCAUUGACCUUUGAGACUGCCUUGAAUUAAAAUAUUGUUAUAAUUAAAAGCAAUGUCUAUCAGAA